AGUGAACGCUGGCGGUAGGCCUAACACAUGCAAGUCGAACGGCAGCACAGGAGAGCUUGCUCUCUGGGUGGCGAGUGGCGGACGGGUGAGGAAUACAUCGGAAUCUACUCUGUCGUGGGGGAUAACGUAGGGAAACUUACGCUAAUACCGCAUACGACCUAAGGGGGAAAGCAGGGGACCUUCGGGCCUUGCGCGAUUGAAUGAGCCGAUGUCGGAUUAGCUAGUUGGCGGGGUAAAGGCCCACCAAGGCGACGAUCCGUAGCUGGUCUGAGAGGAUGAUCAGCCACACUGGAACUGAGACACGGUCCAGACUCCUACGGGAGGCAGCAGUGGGGAAUAUUGGACAAUGGGCGCAAGCCUGAUCCAGCCAUACCGCGUGGGUGAAGAAGGCCUUCGGGUUGUAAAGCCCUUUUGUUGGGAAAGAAAUCCAGCUGGCUAAUACCCGGUUGGGAUGACGGUACCCAAAGAAUAAGCACCGGCUAACUUCGUGCCAGCAGCCGCGGUAA
RNAcentral lists this ribosomal RNA (506 nucleotides) under uncultured bacterium. RNAcentral's name for it is "partial 16S ribosomal RNA". It matches the Rfam family "Bacterial small subunit ribosomal RNA", at positions 29 to 523 of the family's 1533-position model. The record is from RNAcentral.